Long non-coding RNA from Capsicum annuum, 869 nucleotides. RefSeq lists it as uncharacterized. The transcript has 2 exons. The record is from RefSeq and is a predicted model, not a curated record. NCBI's taxonomy places the organism in Eukaryota, Viridiplantae, Streptophyta, Magnoliopsida, Solanales, Solanaceae.
GAAUUUACUUUUGACAAUAUGUAUACACAUACUGCCAUCAGAAAAGGGGGUUCCUUUUUGCUUCUUCUUCAUCAUCUUUACCUGAGAACACCAAGAAAAUACACCAACACUCUAAUUAUCCAUCUUCUCUUCCACACCAUUGUCCACACACCUUUGUCCACACACUAUCACAUAUACUCACCUGUACACACCGACCCGCCUGGAACCUCACUUCAACACACUAAUACACACUUCACUCUCAUUAAAAACACACACAGAAACUCACCGUCGCUCUUAGAAAAAAUACCUUCACGAACAUAGAACAUACAUGCAUACAGGGAGGAGGAGAAAAGAGAGCACAGUCGAGAGACAUAGUGGGUAGAAACAGGGAAAAUCGAUGAGAGAUUGAAGAGAUUUGGAUUAAAAAGGGGAGAAAUUCAGAGAUGUCGAGGAUAGAGUGAAAUAUUGAGAGAGCCGGGUUGCGUUGAGUUUUUCGAUGAGUAAAUCCUCAUCGGAUUUUAUGAUGCAGAUCGGGAAUCGAGUACGCCAACCAGAGAUAGGCAAAUACUGACUGAAAUCCCUUAACAACGAUCUUAUUUUGGUUCAUUCUCCGGUGUAGUUCUGGGCAGAAAUCUUAUUCGGAUUUUUUUUUUGCGUUCGUUGGUUUAAUACCGAGGUUGGAGUUUGUUCUUCGUGGGAGUGUUCUAUUCGGGAUUCUAAGUCCGGGACUUCUUAAAUCUUAUUACCAAUGAAAUCGGUUCUUCAAAGCUCCAUCUCUUAACUCUACAUUUUUAUUAUAUCAAAGUUGGUUAAUAUCGUGAUUUGUGGUGUGGUUUUGAAUAUUUUGAACAAAUGUUGAUUGUUGUUGUGUAUAUGAAUGAUUGGAAUGC